RNAcentral lists this ribosomal RNA (483 nucleotides) under uncultured bacterium. Its description in RNAcentral is "partial 16S ribosomal RNA". It matches the Rfam family "Bacterial small subunit ribosomal RNA", at positions 28 to 523 of the family's 1533-position model. The record is from RNAcentral.
GACGAACACUGGCGGCGUGCUUAACACAUGCAAGUCGAACGAUGAAGCUGGAGCUUGCUCCGGUGGAUUAGUGGCGAACGGGUGAGUAACACGUGAGCAAUCUGCCCUUGACUCUGGGAUAACUGCGGGAAACUGUAGCUAAUACCGGAUACGAGGCUCGAAGGCAUCUUCGGGUCUGGAAAGAAUUUCGGUAAAGGAUGAGCUCGCGGCCUAUCAGCUUGUUGGUGAGGUAAUGGCUCACCAAGGCGACGACGGGUAGCCGGCCUGAGAGGGUGACCGGCCACACUGGGACUGAGACACGGCCCAGACUCCUACGGGAGGCAGCAGUGGGGAAUAUUGCACAAUGGGCGAAAGCCUGAUGCAGCAACGCCGCGUGAGGGAUGAAGGCCUUCGGGUUGUAAACCUCUUUUAGCAGGGAAGAAGCGAAAGUGACGGUACCUGCAGAAAAAGCACCGGCUAACUACGUGCCAGCCGCCGCGGUAA